ACGAACGCUGGCGGCGUGCCUAAUACAUGCAAGUCGAGCGGACUGAUUAAGAGCUUGCUCUUAUGACGUUAGCGGCGGACGGGUGAGUAACACGUGGGCAACCUGCCCUGUAGAUCGGGAUAACACCGAGAAAUCGGUGCUAAUACCGGGUAAUAUCUGAGAUCACAUGAUCUUAGGUUAAAAGAUGGCUCCGGCUAUCACUACAGGAUGGGCCCGCGGCGCAUUAGCUAGUUGGUAAGGUAAUGGCUUACCAAGGCGACGAUGCGUAGCCGACCUGAGAGGGUGAUCGGCCACACUGGGACUGAGACACGGCCCAGACUCCUACGGGAGGCAGCAGUAGGGAAUCUUCCGCAAUGGACGAAAGUCUGACGGAGCAACGCCGCGUGAGUGAUGAAGGGUUUCGGCGCGUAAAGCUCUGUUGUUAGGGAAGAAACAGUACCGAACGAACUAGGUCGGUACCUUGACGGUACCUAACCAGAAAGCCACGGCUAACUACGUG
RNAcentral lists this ribosomal RNA (499 nucleotides) under uncultured bacterium. Its description in RNAcentral is "partial 16S ribosomal RNA". It matches the Rfam family "Bacterial small subunit ribosomal RNA", at positions 29 to 507 of the family's 1533-position model. The record is from RNAcentral.